Scophthalmus maximus (turbot) is the source of this 2124-nucleotide long non-coding RNA. RefSeq lists it as uncharacterized. Lineage: Eukaryota; Metazoa; Chordata; Actinopteri; Pleuronectiformes; Scophthalmidae. The record is from RefSeq and is a predicted model, not a curated record. The transcript is spliced from 3 exons.
UAUGGCGGCCCACCACGUGAUACUAAUCCGUGUGUAUCCCUCCGGUUUGCGGCCUUUCUUCAUCACAACAUCUCUUGAUCUCAGCAAAGCAGUAAUCCGAAUAUGGUCCUGAUGGUCUGAUGGUCCUGAUGGUCCUGAUGCUGCAGAUGUGGAAUUGGGUCUGACUGAGAGCUCGUCCACUGCACGACCUCCUACCCCUGCGACCAAGCACCGAUCGGACGGAACGGCUGUCAAUCGCGCUGUAUCCACGCUCCGAUGUAUAAGCAGACGGCGGCCCACUCCUCCCUAAGAAGUCCACUGUGCUUCCUGAAACACAGAGACCGUUGUCCGCCGCAGGACCAGAUGGCUGGAGUCCCGAUGGCCUUUGACCUCUUAGGUCAUCGUCGUUGUUGUUGUUGUUGUUGUGUUAAAAGCUCAACUCCUCUUUUGCUUCGGGACUGCUUCAGAAGCACAAACGGUUCUCAGUAAUGCCUUCUCCUCACAGCUCACGGCAGUCCGUCAGUCUGAGUGCUGUAAAACAUUUUUCAUGAUGUAAUGUAAUGUCAGAAACAACCCAGGGGUAAUAAUAAUAAGAUGUUUUGUCAACAUAUCAGUUCUUUAUGAUCGGGCCGACAUCCUGGGUCUGUGCAUUACCAUGAGCAUCUUCCUGCCGACUGACGCUGAGAUGAUAGAAGCCCUGAUGACACCAUUAAACCGACCCCCAGUCGUCAGUUAAUGAACGCCAUUAUCCUGCAUCAAUUUGCAAUGAUAAAGUAGAUUCUAAUGCUGGACUCUUACAUCCAGACUGAUAACAAGACGACAAUCAUGCAGCCGCUGCAAGUCAAAUGGUUUUUCAGCUCUUGUCCAUUUGUCCUUACGUGACUGCUCUCUGCAACUGGUAUGAAUAACUUUUCAAGAAGUGAUUUAAUAGUGUUGAGGUGAAGUGUGAUAUAUAUGAAUAUUUUUUGAGCCUCUCCAGGAGCCUGUGGCUCUAUGGAUAAAUUCAGUCUAGAAUGAAAUACCUAAUCAACUUCCAGAUGAUAUGAUAAACAGAGAUUCAGUGUUGGAGAAGCGAUGACCCUGACUUUUUGUACAACACCAUCAACAAGAGGCCAAAAGUUUUCACUCAUCUUGUGAAAUACCUCAACUCCCAUUCGAUGGACUGGCACCAACAUUCUCAUUUGCCCCCAUAUGUUGAUUCCUCUGACCUUUUUUCUUCUUCUAGCGCCACCAUGUGGUUGUAAUUUGUGGGGUUUCUUUGAGCGAAUGAUCUAUUCAUUAUUUAACUAUUGACUGGAUGAUUGGAAGGAAAAAAAAGAUUUUUACGUCUUUGGUGAUGCAUUAUUAUUAUGAUUCUUUAGGUUCCUGUUUGUGUCCUUCUCCAUGUACCCCUUGGACUUACAGUAGCCUACUCGCUUUUUAAAUUUGUCUUGUUUGCCGUGCAACGAAACACCAGCGCAAAAUCCCAAACACAAUUCUGAUUCUUAUCAUUUUUCAGGUCAAAAUCUGACUUUCGUCUGUGGCUGUGGAUUCUUAGUCGUACAUAAAACCUUUGAAAUAUAUUUUUGUUGUAUAAUUUCAGACUGUCUUUGUUUUGGCUUGGGCUUUAGCAUAUACAGUAUGUUAUCCAACAUCACCACGGUUAGAUUAAACAUCGUAGAAUAAACCAACAGGAGGUCAAUUCACAUCACAUGUGCAUAUUAAUCAUGAGCAAAACCCCAACUGGAUUGACCAGGUUUUCUUAGGACAACACAGACGUGCGAUGUCUGUCUAAAUUCCUGAAGAGACAAUCUGCCCGCAGCCACCACGGAGGGACAUGCACUAAAAAGCCCACUUAAGCAGCAGAACCUUUAGAGUGCAUGGAAAGUGCAUCCAUGUAAAUAUUGAACACACACUUACUCACACACACACACGCACAGAGAGUGUUUGGACUCCUCCUGUGGAUCAAUAUUGAAGCAAUCUGGACGCUAAUCUCAUUUGCACUUCUGUUUUCUUCUGCUGCCGCAGACCGACGGCGUAUGUUCUGCAGCGAAAAUCGCCAGAAAUUCCGCCUUUGGAAAGAUUUUUCUCUGCUCACAUGAAUAUUUUAGGCGGGCAGGUUUUCAUGCGCUGUCAGAUCAGUUUUAGAGAAAUAGCCAAUAUGCA